AUGGCAUGGUGAGGCUAUUUUCUAAGUAUUUAAUUGAAUCUCUCACAACUCUCAUAAAUGUAUUCUCCUUCUAACUGAGUAAAAUAAGUAUUGUCUUUUUUAAGUUU
Dendrobium catenatum is the source of this 107-nucleotide small nucleolar RNA. Lineage: Eukaryota; Viridiplantae; Streptophyta; Magnoliopsida; Asparagales; Orchidaceae. The record is from RefSeq and is a predicted model, not a curated record.